This is an RNA transcript of Magnolia sinica, 1149 nucleotides long. RefSeq lists it as uncharacterized. NCBI's taxonomy places the organism in Eukaryota, Viridiplantae, Streptophyta, Magnoliopsida, Magnoliales, Magnoliaceae. The record is from RefSeq and is a predicted model, not a curated record. The transcript has 7 exons.
UGGAGGCAUCCGCCGUUGAAAUCUUCCUGGUCGAUGGUGAUGUUUGGAUGCCAUCGAUAAGGUGAUUUCCACCUCCGUGGAGAACAUCUAUGACCCCAGGAAGGUUUAACGGUAGGCGUUCAAUCCUCACUCUUGUGGCCCACUUGGGUUUGGGAUCUUAAUAUUGUACAUCAUGUCCUAAAAUGCGCUGAUAAAGCUGAUGAACGGAGGGGAUAUAACACAAGCAUCGUAGUUGGCUCGUUACAGCCUUACAGGCAAAGUCGCGUCUUUCAGUUUUUGAAGUGGAAGAUUUCCAAAUGGAUCUCCCUCAAUCAUGCCUCGAUAUGAACUGUUCCCUUGCAUUUUCUGCCAGAAAGGGCACCCACACAGCGCCUCCAACCCAAUGGACCGCUCCAUUCUUUCAUACGUGGGCCAUAUUGGCAUGUCUGCUGGCAUGUAGAUGGACUUCAGCUAUACAUGCUGGUGGAAGUGAAGCUUCUUGCUCAGUGGAGGGAUCUUCCGGUGCAUUUUUAGUUAUCUUUGCAUCCCAUGGAGUUGGUCGUGGGCUUUGAAAUUUUCGAGGGAAUAUAUUCACAUCCUGGAUUGAGGACACCGGCCGAGUGUGUCUGUGGAAAGUUGCUCGAGCAUCCGAUUGGCACGUUCAUCAGCACAGAGUGGGCCAGCUACAAAAGAAAGUCGACUCUCUUUCGCGGCCACACUCACAAUUUAAGAGUUGGGAGCUGGCUUAUGAUGAGUGGGUCAUCUUGGAAUUCAAAUGAGAGUAAUCAUUGCGUCGACAUCUUGUCGGCCAUGUGCGUAGAACGCGGUGGCUUUCAUUCGGGUCCUUGCCUUUGAGACACUGCCAGUGGCGUCAUCGUUACCCUAUCUCAAAUAAACCACUUCUUGGGCUCGCGCAUGGACAUUAUUCGGUGGCCACUAUCAAUGCUUUCUUGGAGUUUUCUUGAUGCUGACCCGUUGUCGUCUAAUCGCCAAACUGGGGCCAGAUUAGCUGAUGAAAGCAACGCGAUUAGUGUCCAGCCUUUUCUAUAACUAAUAGUAUAAUGUAAGUAGCUGUCUCACCCAGUAGCAGUUCUCAUUAGCAGCCAAACAGAUACUUAUCAAGAUCUUAAAUUGCUAUUUAUUAAUUUGGUGGACUCUGUUUAGUCUGUC